This 463-nucleotide ribosomal RNA is filed under the name uncultured bacterium. Its description in RNAcentral is "partial 16S ribosomal RNA". It matches the Rfam family "Bacterial small subunit ribosomal RNA", at positions 28 to 507 of the family's 1533-position model. The record is from RNAcentral.
GACGAACGCUGGCGGAGGGAGGAAAAUAGGAAAGUAGAACGGGGAACAUCUUCGGAGGGGAUAAGUGGCGAAAGGGUGAGUAACAAGUGGGCAACCUGAUUGAGGAUCUGGGAUAACUUCAAGAAAUUGGGGAUAAUACCGGAUGUUCACCGCUUCCCGCAUGGGUGGUGGUGAAAAGGGUUUCCGGCUGGGGAUGGGCCCGCGGCCUAUCAGCUUGUUGGUGGGGUAGUGGCCUACCAAGGCGACGAACGGGAGCCGGCCUGAGAGGGUGACCGGCCACACUGGGACUGAGACACGGCCCAGACUCCUACGGGAGGCAGCAUUGGGGAAUAUUGCGCAAUGGGCGGAAGCCUGACGCAGCGACGCCGCGUAAUAGAUCCCUUCCUUCGAUUUGUAAACCUCUUUCAGCAAAGACAAAGCGCAAGUGACGGUACCUGCAGAAGAAGCACCAACACACUACGUG